UCACAGACCCCUCCCUCGUCUCCUCCACACACUCUCGUGCGCCGCCUCUCACAGAUCUCUUCCUUCCCCGGCGCCACAUCGCCGGCCACCGCAGACCUCCGGCGCCUCUCCUCCCCUCCGCACCACCUCCGGCCCCUCACCCUCGACCGGUCGACACCCAUCACCCCUCGUGGGAUUUCUCCCCUGCGGCUGACCCCAUAUAGAUCGAGGGAGCACGCCCGCCGUGCUGCCCCUUCUCGCCAGUGGCCAGGCUUCAACAGCCAGCCAGACAUGUCGCGCGCGUGGCCAGGGUAGCUGACGCACUGCACGCCUACGGCGACCACAAAGACGCGGCGCCGGCGAGCCUCAAGCGCAGCUUCGGGGCCCCUUCUUCCACGGGUCCUCCAUGAGGCAGCUCCGCCGCAGCCCCUCGGUCGUCCUCCCCCACAUCGCCACCGGUGACCUCGUCAGCAUCCACCGUGCGCUUGCCGUCCAAGGGUCAGAAGAGAAAGGACAGAAUCUGCAUCGUGCUUGCAGAUGAUACAUCUGAGGAGCCAAAGAUCAGAAUGAACAAUUGGAUUGUGAAAUGAUAUAUUUUUGUUUGUUCAGGAAGUUGCUCUAAUUUCUGUCUAUAACUAAAUAAGGAACAAUAGUUCUUUAUGCACAGAGAAACUGGUUGAGAUAUUUAGUAGCUACUAUUACCAUGAUUUUUAUUAUAGCUUGCUAGGUCAUGUAUAGAUGCCAUGUUACUUUACAAGUCAAGUACCUUUUACACUUUAUAUUCUUUAUGCUAACACCAAGCUUGUGUGGUUCUAUAGGUUGUUGAAGUAAGCUGUUUGCUUCCGAAGUUUGCUUACCAUCGUUGAGUAGAGUAACUUCCUGAUGGCAAUGGUUGCAUAUCACAGAGAUACGCUGCUGCUAGCGCAGGCGAGGUGUGCUUCUUGGAACUGGCUAGGUGCGAGCUGGUGAGAUGCUGUCGAG
This is a long non-coding RNA of Lolium rigidum, 960 nucleotides long. RefSeq lists it as uncharacterized. The record is from RefSeq and is a predicted model, not a curated record. The transcript is spliced from 3 exons. Lineage: Eukaryota; Viridiplantae; Streptophyta; Magnoliopsida; Poales; Poaceae.